RNAcentral lists this transfer RNA (71 nucleotides) under Ictidomys tridecemlineatus (thirteen-lined ground squirrel). RNAcentral's name for it is "Spermophilus tridecemlineatus (thirteen-lined ground squirrel) tRNA". It matches the Rfam family "tRNA". Rfam says of the family: Transfer RNA (tRNA) molecules are approximately 80 nucleotides in length. The record is from Rfam by way of RNAcentral. Lineage: Eukaryota; Metazoa; Chordata; Mammalia; Rodentia; Sciuridae.
GGGGAUGUAGCUUAGUGGUAGAGUGUUUACCCAAUAUUCAGGAAGCCCUGGGUUUGUUCCCAGCAUUGCCA